CAGCCGCCGCGGGAGUACAGAGGGUGCGAGCGUUAAUCGGAUUUACUGGGCGUAAAGCGUGCGUAGGCGGCUUUUUAAGUCGGAUGUGAAAUCCCUGAGCUUAACUUAGGAAUUGCAUUCGAUACUGGGAAGCUAGAGUAUGGGAGAGGAUGGUAGAAUUCCAGGUGUAGCGGUGAAAUGCGUAGAGAUCUGGAGGAAUACCGAUGGCGAAGGCAGCCAUCUGGCCUAAUACUGACGCUGAGGUACGAAAGCAUGGGGAGCAAACAGGAUUAGAUACCCCCGUAGUCCCUGUCUCUUAUAC
This 301-nucleotide ribosomal RNA is filed under the name uncultured bacterium. Its description in RNAcentral is "partial 16S ribosomal RNA". It matches the Rfam family "Bacterial small subunit ribosomal RNA", at positions 509 to 807 of the family's 1533-position model. The record is from RNAcentral.